GGGAGGUUGGAGCUUGAUGGUCCUUGAGGUCCCUUCCAACCCAAGCCAUUCUAUGUUUCUAUGAUCCAGAUGCUUAAAGAUAGCAAAACUUUGUCAUGUUCUUGAAACUGAGUUAACUAUUGCCUCUUGCUGUAGUGAUGGACCUGCUUGUGGUGUCCAAAACCACGCAGCUUCAAGAUUUGCAGGCACCCUGCACCAGAAAACCCUGAACUAAGUGCCAGAUGAUCUGUUCACUGCUCCUUCCCUUAUGCCACAAAGUGUUUUGCAGUUUAUUAAUGCCAUGGAUGUGGAUUUCUACACAAAAGCUGAGAGGGUUGGGGGGAGUGCUGUGGCAGACCUGUGCAUUGGAGCAAGUCUUGCUUGGUUGAAUAGUGAACGUUUACUGGCUGGAUGUGCGCAAGAAUAAACAAAUGAUAGGACCACGCUCCUUCAUGUGCUGAGUGCUAUUUUUUCUUUCUCUCCAUCCAGAUACUUUAACAUUUGUAGCCUGUGUUGGGCCAAAGAAAGCCUGCUGGUCUGACUGCCCACGUGAGUCAGCAGAAGAGCUGCUUAUCUCCCGCAUGGUCCGAGCGUCUGACACUUCCAGGGAAGAGGAAUAGUUGCUCAGACACUGGAAUUUCCUUUGCUGCAGUUGAGAGAACCCGUCAAGAAAAAGAAUUGCAUUGUUGUGUGUGUGUAUUUAAUACCAGGAG
Long non-coding RNA from Gallus gallus (chicken), 692 nucleotides. RefSeq lists it as uncharacterized. The record is from RefSeq and is a predicted model, not a curated record. The transcript has 2 exons. Lineage: Eukaryota; Metazoa; Chordata; Aves; Galliformes; Phasianidae.